RNAcentral lists this ribosomal RNA (404 nucleotides) under uncultured Candidatus Solibacter sp. RNAcentral's name for it is "bacterial SSU rRNA". It matches the Rfam family "Bacterial small subunit ribosomal RNA", at positions 355 to 776 of the family's 1533-position model. Lineage: Bacteria; Pseudomonadati; Acidobacteriota; Terriglobia; Bryobacterales; Solibacteraceae. The record is from RNAcentral.
UGGGGAAUCUUGCACAAUGGGGGAAACCCUGAUGCAGCGACGCCGCGUGAGCGAUGAAGCCCUUCGGGGUGUAAAGCUCUUUCGACAGGAACGAUAAUGACGGUACCUGGAGAAGAAGCUGCGGCCAACUACGUGCCAGCAGCCGCGGUAAUACGUAGGCAGCGAGCGUUGUUCGGAGUUACUGGGCGUAAAGCGUGCGUAGGCGGUCGACUAAGUUUGGUGUGAAAUCUCCCGGCUUAACUGGGAGGGUGCGCCGAAUACUGGCCGGCUCGAGUGUGGGAGAGGGAAGCGGAAUUCCUGGUGUAGCGGUGAAAUGCGUAGAUAUCAGGAGGAACACCUGCGGUGAAGACGGCUUCCUGGACCAUUACUGACGCUGAUGCACGAAAGCGUGGGGAGCAAACAGG